This 74-nucleotide transfer RNA is filed under the name Otolemur garnettii (small-eared galago). It matches the Rfam family "tRNA". Rfam says of the family: Transfer RNA (tRNA) molecules are approximately 80 nucleotides in length. Their secondary structure includes four short double-helical elements and three loops (D, anti-codon, and T loops). The record is from Rfam by way of RNAcentral. Lineage: Eukaryota; Metazoa; Chordata; Mammalia; Primates; Galagidae.
GCGCCUGUGGCUCAAAGGCAUAGGGCGCUGGCCCCAUAUGCCAGAGGUGGUGGGUUCAAACCCAGCCCUGGGCA